CCAUCAGGUGCUCAAUCACUGGUUCAAGUUGUGACUUAGAAUUUCUGCUACGACAGCAUGCAGGCUGGUAUGAGGGAGGAAUUCAAACUAAAUCAUCUGUGCUGUCUUUGGCUUCUCUACCAUGACAGUGAAAUGGCAGAGACCUCUGCAGCUCUUCAAGAAAGUGAUUUUCCUGAAUGCACUCUCCUAAUACCUUUCUGAUCAUCAACAUAGUUAAGUCAGUUAGUGACAACUGUGGAAUCACAGAGAGAUGGAAGGAAGAACUAAGGGCAAAGCUCACAAAGCAAAGCUCAAAGACAGACGGAGAUUCGUAUACCACAUGAUGAAAAGGCUCUUACUUCUGGUCUAAGCACUGUCCUGCCCUGCAUCCACUUGGAGCAGUGACUGAGCACUGCCUUCCCAAACAGCUGAAUUGCCUGGUAUUCCACUGUUGGACUAUAUAGAUCAAACUGCCUGCUAAUAAUUCAUUACCUCUUGUGGAAUACAGUGCUGGCAAAAGAAAAGAUUUGUGGGGGCAUUUCUGCUUUCUGACAGAGCACCCUAGGCCUGAGAUGUCAUGCUGGUUUCAGCUUUCUGUGUGAGAGCUAAUAGCUCUGCACUUCAGAAGUGGGGCAAGAGUUGACAGAUUGCCUGCAUGCAGCUCCCACAAACAACUUAUGGAGAUCAGGGUGCUGCUGUGAAGAUGUGUAGGAACUGCUCUCAGAACUGACAGCCUCCAAGUAGCUAGCCUUGAUAGCUCCUUUAUACUCUAAACUUAUGGAUUUUUAAAUUAUUCAGAGAGUUCUGUUGUCUGUGUUUUUGUUUUUUUUUUCCCUGAAUUGUUGAGAUAUUUCAGUAGGGGAAUUUACAUUACAGAAUUUAGAGGGCUGUUGUUUCCUGUUUGUUCGUUCUCUAUCUGGAAUUCCCUCCCUUUUCUUAUUAAUGAUUUGUUGUCUUUCUGAGCACAAUGAAUGCAGAAAGAAUAAGACCUAAUGGUGCAGGUUAGUUAUCCAUGAAAUUUCUCUGUAUUUAAUUGUAACAGUUGGUAUCUUCCUGCUUAGUAUGACUGGUACAUUAAAUAUAAAGAG
Molecule: long non-coding RNA, 1067 nt
Filed under: Gallus gallus (chicken)
Lineage: Eukaryota; Metazoa; Chordata; Aves; Galliformes; Phasianidae
Description: lncRNA (ENSGALG00010023608.1)
Source: RNAcentral